UUCAUUUUCUCUCAAAAUCCUCUUACUUCUCACUACCUUGGCUGAGUACCCCAUGUGCUCUUCUAUGAAUUUCUUUCAUCAAUUUCCCACCUAAACACUCACAUCACACCUCUUUCUUCUAUACACAUAAGUUUAGGUUGUUGAGUGUUGAGUUUGAAGAUAGAGAAAUGCUAGACAAAGCUAGAACAAAUCAAAUAGGAAAGACUAUCCAAGUGUUUGAAGAGCUAGUCACUUAGAACACCAUCAAAGCCAUCAAGAGGUAAGUGAAAGGGCGAAGGGGAGCAGUGAGCAGCAGAGACUACUUGCUGGAGAGUACAUGUGGCCCGAACUUUGGGGAAUGUUUCGCGAAAAUGUCUUUUGUUUGUUCUAAAUUCUUAAGAGCAGAAGUAAUUGGCUAAGUGCGUGCAAACAACUUUCUCUUGUUUAAUUUUUUUUAUGUGUAUUUUUGGGAUAUGUUUAUAAUGAAAAUGCUAUUUUUUGCAUUGUUUUUGGUCUUGUAUUUUUUUUAUCUUUACAAAAAGGAGAUAAACAAUGGCUGGGAGCCAAGCAGAGCAAAGGAGCUGCAGUUUGGGCUUGGGCUACCGCACAGGCAAGGAGCCAGAGGGAUCAACGGUAGCUCCUGGUGCAUGGAGGCAAGGAUACAGUCCCACUCCUCAUUCUCCUUGUUUUCUUCUCCUCUUUCUUGCAGAAUUUUUACAAUUCAAUAUUCAAAAUAAAAUUACGAAAAUUCCUAUUCUCCAAAACUUGCUUAUGUAAUGCCCCGUGUUUUGGAA
This is a long non-coding RNA of Humulus lupulus (European hop), 773 nucleotides long. RefSeq lists it as uncharacterized. NCBI's taxonomy places the organism in Eukaryota, Viridiplantae, Streptophyta, Magnoliopsida, Rosales, Cannabaceae. The transcript is spliced from 3 exons. The record is from RefSeq and is a predicted model, not a curated record.